RNAcentral lists this ribosomal RNA (444 nucleotides) under uncultured bacterium. RNAcentral describes it as "bacterial SSU rRNA". It matches the Rfam family "Bacterial small subunit ribosomal RNA", at positions 354 to 796 of the family's 1533-position model. The record is from RNAcentral.
GUAGGGAAUAUUGGGCAAUGGUCGGAAGACUGACCCAGCCAUGCCGCGUGCAGGAAGACGGCCCUCUGGGUUGUAAACUGCUUUUAUCUGGGAAGAAAAAGGCCAUGCGUGGCAAAUUGCCGGUACCAGAUGAAUAAGCACCGGCUAACUCCGUGCCAGCAGCCGCGGUAAUACGGAGGGUGCGAGCGUUGUCCGGAUUUAUUGGGUUUAAGGGGUGCGUAGGCGGCUGAUUAAGUCAGCGGUGAAAGACUUCGGCUUAACCGGAGCAGUGCCGUUGAUACUGGUUGGCUUGAGUGUCGUAGGGGUACAUGGAAUUGAUGGUGUAGCGGUGAAAUGCAUAGAUACCAUCAGGAACACCGAUAGCGAAGGCAUUGUACUGGCCGACAACUGACGCUGAUGCACGAAAGUGUGGGGAUCGAACAGGAUUAGAUACCCCAGUAGUCC